CCUACGGGUGGCAGCAGUGAGGAAUAUUGGUCAAUGGACGAAAGUCUGAACCAGCCAAGUAGCGUGAAGGAUGAAUGCCCUAUGGUUUGUAAACUUCUUUUAUGAAGGAAUAAAACGAGUCACGUGUGCCUUUUUGCAUUUACUUUAUGAAUAGUGGUCGGCUAACCUCGUGCCAGCAGCCGCGGUAAUACGGAGGGUCCGAGCUUUAUCCGGAUUUGUUGGGUUUAAAGUAAGCUUAGAUGGGUUGUUAAGUCAGUUGUGAAAGUUUGCGGCUCAACCGUAAAAUUGCAAUUGAUACUGGCAGUCUUGAGUACAGUUGAGGUGAGCAGAAUUCGUGGUGUAGCGGUGAAAUGCUUAGAUAUCACGAAGAACACCGAUUGCGAAGGCAGCUUACUAAACUGUGACUGACAUUGAUGCUCGAAAGUGUGGGUAUCAAACAGGAUUAGAUACCCCUGUAGUC
This 460-nucleotide ribosomal RNA is filed under the name uncultured bacterium. RNAcentral's name for it is "partial 16S ribosomal RNA". It matches the Rfam family "Bacterial small subunit ribosomal RNA", at positions 338 to 795 of the family's 1533-position model. The record is from RNAcentral.